This 496-nucleotide long non-coding RNA is filed under the name Pongo abelii (Sumatran orangutan). Its description in RNAcentral is "lincRNA". The record is from RNAcentral. Lineage: Eukaryota; Metazoa; Chordata; Mammalia; Primates; Hominidae.
GGUCACCCACAUGGUCCAAGAUGGCUGCUGGAGAUCCAGCCAUUACACAAAACUCCAGUCAGCAAGAAGGAAGAAGCAACAAAGAAGGACAUCACCCCCUUCCCCUUUAAGGACACUUUCUAGAAAUUACAAGAGCACAUGUUUAUGCCCCUUUUGACAGAACUCAGUCACAUACAUGAUCUGGGUGCGGGUGCAAGAAAAAAAUGCAAAAUGUGAUUUUUUUUUUUUUUUGAGACAAGAGUCUUGCUCUGUUGCCCAGGCUGGAAUGCAGUGGCACAAUCUCGGCUCACUGCAACAUCCACCUCCGGGGUUCAAGCAAUUCACCUUUCUCAGCCUCUCAAGUAGUUGGGAUUAUAGGCGCUUGCCACCACGCCUGGCUAAUUUUUGUAUUUUUAGUAGAGACGGGGUUUCGCCAUGUUGGCCAGGCUGGCCUCGAACUCCUGAUCUCAGGUGAUCCACCCACCUCGGCCUCCCAAAGUGCUGGGAUUACAAGUGU